This 405-nucleotide ribosomal RNA is filed under the name Acanthamoeba sp. MMN-2011/T4. RNAcentral describes it as "SSU rRNA". It matches the Rfam family "Eukaryotic small subunit ribosomal RNA", at positions 791 to 1099 of the family's 1831-position model. Lineage: Eukaryota; Discosea; Longamoebia; Acanthamoebidae. The record is from RNAcentral.
GCCACCGAAUACAUUAGCAUGGGAUAAUGGAAUAGGACCCUGUCCUCCUAUUUUCAGUUGGUUUUGGCAGCGCGAGGACUAGGGUAAUGAUUAAUAGGGAUAGUUGGGGGCAUUAAUAUUUAAUUGUCAGAGGUGAAAUUCUUGGAUUUAUGAAAGAUUAACUUCUGCGAAAGCAUCUGCCAAGGAUGUUUUCAUUAAUCAAGAACGAAAGUUAGGGGAUCGAAGACGAUCAGAUACCGUCGUAGUCUUAACCAUAAACGAUGCCGACCAGCGAUUAGGAGACGUUGAAUACAAAACACCACCAUCGGCGCGGUCGUCCUUGGCGUUCGUGUUCACGCACGAGCGCGAGGGCGGUUUAGCCCGAUGGCACCGGUGAAUGACUCCCCUAGCAGCUUGUGAGAAAUG